Molecule: ribosomal RNA, 590 nt
Filed under: uncultured bacterium
Lineage: Bacteria
Description: bacterial SSU rRNA
Rfam family: Bacterial small subunit ribosomal RNA
Source: RNAcentral
CCUACGGGAGGCAGCAGUGGGGAAUAUUGGACAAUGGGCGAAAGCCUGAUCCAGCAAUGCCGCGUGAGUGAUGAAGGCCUUAGGGUCGUAAAGCUCUUUUACCAGGGAUGAUAAUGACAGUACCUGGAGAAUAAGCUCCGGCUAACUCCGUGCCAGCAGCCGCGGUAAUACGGAGGGAGCUAGCGUUGUUCGGAAUUACUGGGCGUAAAGCGUGCGUAGGCGGUUAUUCAAGUCAGAGGUGAAAGCCCGGGGCUCAACCCCGGAACGGCCUUUGAAACUAGAUAACUAGAAUCUUGGAGAGGUCAGUGGAAUUCCGAGUGUAGAGGUGAAAUUCGUAGAUAUUCGGAAGAACACCAGUGGCGAAGGCGACUGACUGGACAAGUAUUGACGCUGAGGUACGAAAGCGUGGGGAGCAAACAGGAUUAGAUACCCUGGUAGUCCACGCCGUAAACGAUGAUAACUAGCUGUCCGGACACUUGGUGUUUGGGUGGCGCAGCUAACGCAUUAAGUUAUCCGCCCGGGGAGUACGGUCGCAAGAUUAAAACUUAAANGAAUUGACGGNNGAGACNGCGAGACGACGACGAGGAGAG